CCAUCUUCUUUAUUGUUAGGGGGUUGGUUGAGAGAAAAGAAGAAAAGAGGGAGAAAGAAAAAGAGAAGAAAAAGAAGAAAAAAAAGAAAGGGAUGGUUUUUGGAGAGAAUUUUUUUUUUUACAUCUUGUGAUAGAAAAGAAAAGAAUUAUUGAAAGAGUUUAUUCAUAGAAAGAUUUUACAAUAGUUUAAGCACACCUAUUUAUCUAUUGAAGUUGAAUUAAAAACAGAAGGAUUGCGGGGUUUUUGAUUAUCAUUUGAAUUCGAAGUUGUGUAGUGGAAGGUCAUCCCUUUGCUCGUUUCGUCUCUAGCUCGCUGCCCCGAAGAAGGUGAAAUCCUUUUUUUUUUCUUUCUUCUUUUUUAGAUGUUGUCAUUCCACCUUGCUAACUAUUUUUUUUUUGUUUUGUUUUCUUGUGUGACAUCGAUUCGAGUCCACUUUGGAUUCCAUUCUUGCAUUCCUCGUUGAGCCAUAAAGGCUCAAAACACUUUUCCCGAGUCAGCCAACCCCCUGAGAGGAUGUACAGGUCGAAAGCAAAACCAUUGGAGAGCUGCUGGAAGUAGCGGAUUGCAGGCAUUUGGCUGCGAUUUUUGUUUUGAAGCUGUGUAUAUGGUUUAUACACAAUAUAUACACUGUGAUACAGGUCAAAAAUCCACAAGAGGCCCAAACUCAAAAUCUGAAUUGACGACAGGGCAAUUACGUUUCUGGAAAGGAGUUUUCAACUUCCAAAAGUUGAAAAACAGGCUUAUAUAUAGCCUGUAUACACAGAUAUACAGGUAUGAUAUACUAUAUAUAUGCUCAAAAAAUAUGAUUGGCAGGGGAACAUAGAGGAACGCCUAUUCUAAUUAAAAUUCGGAAUUAGGCAAACAAUGCGGACGUAGGGUGCAGCCCGUAUACAUCAGUAUACAUUAUCGGGUGAUGAUAUACACUUGUUAAGUAAGUUUUAAAAAAAUGAUACAAGUACAAAUACGCAGGGCAAUACAGGGAAAAAUAAUGAAAAUAUGUAUUUAAACAGGUGCAGGGCUCAAAAGGUCCAAAAUGGAUGCUGAUAUACACUGUAUACAACAGUAUACAUCGUUUGUAUACUUUAUGUCUCCUUUUUCAGGAAAUUGGGUCAAGGCCCUUCAGUCCCCUUUUAUUAACAGGCCCAAUGACCAUUUGUUUUUGCAGGUUUUUUUUUUAAAAAAAGGGCCCAAAUCUAAGUAAAUAGAUUAGGACAGGUGGGCCAAAGCCCAAUUGGAUGGAUUUGGGCAAUCAAACCCAAGUUCAAAUAUUUUUCUCUCUUUAUUUAUUAUUUGUUUGAAUUAAUUAGUGUUUUGGUAGAAUUUUAAUAAUCUCCUAAAGAGUAGCCAUUUUUCAUUAUUUUAAAUUUUACUAUUUUAUUCACUUUUAUCACCAUUUAGUUUUCCUUAAAUUAAUUCCCUCUAAACAUUUUCCUUAAGAAAAAAAAAGUAAAAAGAAUGAAAUAAAAAAUAUCAAAAUGAAUUUUCUCUUUACUUAGUUAAAAAUUUUAUUUUAAAAGUCAUUUAGUCAAAUCGCCGGUCAACCGCAAGUUAGCGGGCAUCCCGAGGGCCUAACACCUUCUCGAGAUGUACAUUGAACUUCGAACCCUUUUCAAAUGAUUUUUAAUCUGUUUUUAAAUCUUUUGAAGUUUUUCUUGAUUCUAUCAAAAAUCAAGUGGCGACUCCGAUUUUGAAGGUCGGUUUUUCUUAAACAAUAAGAUUAAUUGAUUUUUCGAAACCUAGUCAAUUUUUUCUCAUUUAAACCAAUAAUCAGUAGUAUUUUUAUUUUUUUAAGUAAAACAAUUGCUACGGAGAAGAAAGAAAAAAAUAAGAACAAUUUUUUAAAAAAUAAAUAUAUUUAUUGAAAAGAGAUAUUUUUAAAAAAAUGUUAAUAUUGUUUUGGCUGCUCACUCUCUCAAAGAGAGUGAAAUACACUCACUUUGCCAGGUAAGCAUUUAGGGAGUUAAUAAUUUUAGUUUUAUAAAUCCAGGGGGCUAAUAGGGCCCUCGUAAAGUAUGAAUGUGUAAUUAGGUACCGUCUAUAGAUUAGAGGGGCUAUUGACCAUUUUCUCUAAAUUUUGUUUACAUGUUUUUAAAAAAAAUAUAAACUCGUGGAUCAUUUUUUUGUAUUUUUAAAAAAAUUCUAAGCAUGAUAUGAAAUUCCCAAAUCAUGAUUUUUUUGGAGAGUAUGAGAUUUUAUAUGAAACACUCCAAAAAUACAAUUACCUAGGCUAGAGCCUAACAUAAUGAAUAAUGACUUAAAAAUGAUUAAACGAUGUCUCUUGACCUAAACUAAUGUAAUUAACAUGAUUUUGAAGUAUUAGAGCAUAAACGUCAAGAAACGACCAUGAUGUCUAGAAACUAGUGAAAUUGAUCUAGUAGGUGUUCUUAGGUCUUGUGAUGGCUUGAGAGUGUCGCAUGAAGGACAAAUCUCGUAAAAAUACAUUAAAUAGGUAAAAAUAUAUUUUUAGGAUCAAAAUAUUCAGGUUCUAAUCCCAAAAUUAAUUUCGUGAAAACUUCUGGGAACACCUCUGCAACACAGAUUUAUUCCGCGAUGAAAACUCCAAAAAAGUCAAGUUAGACUCAAUUAUAAAGUCCAACCAAGUGAGGGUGUUUUGGGUAUUUUAUAGGAUUAGUAUAUUGACUUUAAGUCAUUUUACACUCAUUCCCACAUUAAAACAAAUCCCCAAAUUAAAAAUCCAAUUGCUCUCACUUCUCUAUAGAUUGUUUCACUACACAACGACCCCUUUGAAGAAGAUGAUUAAGAUUCAAGUAGGGCUCAAGGACAAGUAUUUUCUCCAUUAAUCUUUAAGGAUUGACAAGGUAUUGUAACGUAUCAUUCUUGGGACUCCUUUACACAAGAGGUUCUUUCAAACUGAUUUUUCAAUGUUCUCCCAACUUUCUAGAAAUCACUGAAAUUUGUGGCUCACCUUUAAACUUUUCAUGAAUAAUUUGAGUUAUUAUCUUAGGUUUUUUGCCUAAUUCCUUAUAGACCCAUGAAUGUCCCUCUUCUCUUAACCCUAACUCUUGAAUUAUGUUAAUUAAUUAUUAGAGGUGAUGUAAUGAAGUAUGUUCUUGUAUAAUUGACUUUUAUAUGAUAAUUAUAAAAUAUUUGAUGGGUAAAUAUCUUGGAUUCGGGAUGAAGUCUUGAAAGAGUUCUUGGAGUCCAUUUGUAAGAUCUUCUAGGUCGUGAUCAUUCUAUUGUAGUAUUGUUGGUUUAUCUUUGGUAAUGUUGAUUAAUUGAAGUAUGAAUGAUGAAGUUAUGGAUGUAUGAUCAUUCAAUGAAUAUGAUAAUUGUGAGAUGAUGAUAGUUGUGCUAUUAUUAGGGGUUGAAGGUAAUUCUCAUGUACAUCUUAUGACUAUGCUAUGAAGUAAUGUUCUCACAUGAUAUUAGGUUGUGAUUAAAGGAUUUUCCUAUCCUAAAACCUAUGAGAUAUGAUCAUGUUAUAUGAGGAGAUAAACUCAUAAAACCUAUGUUACAAAUUUAUGUUAAGGAAGACUUAAAGAUACUUCAAAAAUGGAAUUUAGCUUAGCACCGAGUUAACUUGACAAUGAGAGGUGUUCCUUCAUAAAGGAAGAUAGGUUCACCCGAUGUUCUCAUGACGUGGAAACUACAAUUCUAAAUCAGUAUAAAGAGGGUUUCUAGCAACAACCUCCUAGUUCCUUAACUAUGUGCCCACAUUGGAAACCUUUGCUAGUGGAUCCACCUAAAUGUUAUAUGAAUGUUUAUGUCUUACCUUGACAAGUAGGACACCCUCAUUUCAGUGUGAGGGGAUGAUAACGGUUCCAUGUAGCCAACAUGGUCAAUGCAGGUAUGGAGAAGUUUCCCGAAUGUUAAAAUGAAUGAAUGAAACUAUGAAGAUUUACACUAACUAGGACUACUUAAGUGGUGUCACUUAGUGUAGGUAAGGAUAUGAGGCUUUUACAUUGCACAAGUGGUUCUUGAGGGAAACUCUAAGGUAGUUUAUUUAUGUAUAUACGUUAUGAAUAAAAUGCAUGAUGUUGGUUUCAUAUGAUAGGUAUGAUAUUGAUUUCACUUGAUAUACAUGAUGUUGGUCAAAAUUGGUGUGUAUGGUAUUGACAACACUUAAUAUGAUAAUGUAUGAGGUAAAACACAAUGCUUAUGAUCUCUUUGUUAGUUUAUUUGGUUUAUGUGAGGUUAUGGGGCUUCACAUACAUAUUGCACUAGUAGACUUGGAUUGGGGUUAUAAGUAGAGACUUGUGACAUAUUUGAUGAAAUGGAUUCUAAAUAUUAAAUGUUGACUAUGGUUCUAUUUUGAUGUUACGCUUGAAUAAGAAUAUGUCUUGUUGUUGUUGUGAUAUGGACUUGUAUAUGAUUCUUAUAAUGUGCAUAAAGGCUUUUAAAGUUAACAUAGCAUGCUUAUAACAAAAUGUCUUGUGGUGCAUUUUUUCAAAUGGUUCACUUGCAUAUGUUUCCAUACUUAGUACAUGUGGUUCGUAAUAACUCAUAUCUCUUCUAUUUUCUGCACAAAUAUAGGAUCGGCCAUUGAGUUGAUUCAACGCCAUUUUCUUAAGAAGCUUGGAUUGUUUCCCAGGUUGGUGAGUCCUCAAGUUCGAGGACAAAAUGAUUCUAGCUUUAGUUGUUUUGCUUAUAUUAAAAUACAUUGUUCUACUUAUCCUAUUUAAAGGGCUUUGUUGUAAAAAUUUUUAUAAGACUUGUAAUUAUGUAAGGUCUAAGUCCAAUAUCAUACUCUUAUGUCUAGAUGGCAAUAUGAGACAAGUUAUCUUUCUAUUUUGAUAUAUGAAGUGAAAUUGAACUUCAAAUUAAAAGUUUUAAAUUUUCCUCUUUUAUCCUAUCUAUUAUGCGAUGAGAAAUGCUAACGUCUUGUAUAAGUCAUGGUCGGCCACACCGAUUACGUCUGGGGGUACUCUAGGUUCAUAACACUAUCUCAUUAUGUGAAAUCACUAGAUCGAAUCAACAUGAAAUCACAUUUCCAAACACUGAUUUCAUCUCACUAUUUCAUGUUAUGAUAUGGUCUCGCAUAGACAAACUCCUACUUGUUAAAGUUUGUUAUGUCCUAACAUGUCACUUUAUGAUACUACUUUGUCAUAAAAUUGAAGCAUAAGUGACCUAGCCUUAGAGCCUGCUUGGUAUUGCUGUUGGAGGGACAAAAACAAUUAUUUUGAGAAAAAUAUAUUUUUUUAAUAAGAAAGUGUUUGAC
RNAcentral lists this long non-coding RNA (5180 nucleotides) under Solanum lycopersicum (tomato). Its description in RNAcentral is "long non-coding RNA (SLYC_LNC000660)". The record is from RNAcentral. Lineage: Eukaryota; Viridiplantae; Streptophyta; Magnoliopsida; Solanales; Solanaceae.